RNAcentral lists this ribosomal RNA (819 nucleotides) under uncultured Glaciecola sp. Its description in RNAcentral is "bacterial SSU rRNA". It matches the Rfam family "Bacterial small subunit ribosomal RNA", at positions 246 to 1057 of the family's 1533-position model. The record is from RNAcentral. Lineage: Bacteria; Pseudomonadati; Pseudomonadota; Gammaproteobacteria; Alteromonadales; Alteromonadaceae.
UUGUUGGUGAGGUAAUGGCUCACCAAGGCGACGAUCCGUAGCUGGUUUGAGAGAAUGAUCAGCCACACUGGAACUGAGACACGGUCCAGACUCCUACGGGAGGCAGCAGUGGGGAAUAUUGCACAAUGGAGGAAACUCUGAUGCAGCCAUGCCGCGUGUGUGAAGAAGGCCUUCGGGUUGUAAAGCACUUUCAGUUGUGAGGAAAGGAUGGCGGUUAAUACCCGUUAUCUGUGACGUUAGCAACAGAAGAAGGACCGGCUAACUCCGUGCCAGCAGCCGCGGUAAUACGGAGGGUCCGAGCGUUAAUCGGAAUUACUGGGCGUAAAGCGCACGCAGGCGGUUUGUUAAGCUAGAUGUGAAAGCCCCGGGCUCAACCUGGGAAUAGCAUUUAGAACUGGCAGACUAGAGUCUUGGAGAGGGGAGUGGAAUUCCAGGUGUAGCGGUGAAAUGCGUAGAUAUCUGGAGGAACAUCAGUGGCGAAGGCGACUCCCUGGCCAAAGACUGACGCUCAUGUGCGAAAGUGUGGGUAGCGAACAGGAUUAGAUACCCUGGUAGUCCACACCGUAAACGCUGUCUACUAGCUGUUUGUGGGUUUAACCCGUGAGUAGCGUAGCUAACGCGAUAAGUAGACCGCCUGGGGAGUACGGCCGCAAGGUUAAAACUCAAAUGAAUUGACGGGGGCCCGCACAAGCGGUGGAGCAUGUGGUUUAAUUCGAUGCAACGCGAAGAACCUUACCUACUCUUGACAUACUAGAAACUUUUCAGAGAUGAAUUGGUGCCUUCGGGAAUCUAGAUACAGGUGCUGCAUGGCUGUCGUCA